AAAAAAUUAAUUCAUAAAAAAAAAAAAAAGAGUAUGUUGAUUAUAUCAAAACUAGAGAGAAAUAAUAAUUUUAGUUUAUCAUGGGUAGGGAUCCUAUUGCUGACAUAAUAACCUCUAUAAGAAAUGCUGACAUGAAUAGAAAAGGAAUCGUUCGAAUAGCAUCUACUAACAUCACCGAAAACAUUAUUAAAAUACUUUUAAGAGAAGGUUUUAUUGAAAAUGUCAGGAAACAUAAGGAGGGCAACAAAAAAUUUUUGGUUUUAACCCUACGACACAGAAGGAAGAGGAAAGAACCCUAUAGAACUAGUCUAAAUUUAAAACGGAUCAGCCGACCUGGUCUACGAAUCUAUUCUAACUAUCAAAAAAUUCCUAGAAUUUUGGGCGGGAUGGGCAUUGUAAUUCUUUCUACUUCUCGGGGUAUAAUGACAGACCGAGAAGCUCGACUCGAAAGAAUCGGCGGAGAAAUCUUGUGUUAUAUAUGGUAAUCUUUCUGAUAUCCGAAUUGUAUCCAGAC
Molecule: unclassified non-coding RNA, 514 nt
Filed under: Hevea brasiliensis (rubber tree)
Lineage: Eukaryota; Viridiplantae; Streptophyta; Magnoliopsida; Malpighiales; Euphorbiaceae
Source: RNAcentral